RNAcentral lists this ribosomal RNA (678 nucleotides) under bacterium JL35-29. Its description in RNAcentral is "bacterial SSU rRNA". It matches the Rfam family "Bacterial small subunit ribosomal RNA", at positions 338 to 974 of the family's 1533-position model. The record is from RNAcentral.
CCUACGGGAGGCAGCAGUAGGGAAUCUUCCGCAAUGGACGAAAGUCUGACGGAGCAACGCCGCGUGAGUGAUGAAGGCUUUCGGGUCGUAAAACUCUGUUGUUAGGGAAGAACAAGUACGAGAGUAACUGCUCGUACCUUGACGGUACCUAACCAUGUGUAGAAGCCAUCGGCUAACUUUGACGUGCCAAGCAGCAUCGCAGAGCUAAUACGUAGGUGGCAAGCGUUAUCCGGAAUUAUUGGGCGUAAAGCGCGCGCAGGCGGUUUCUUAAGUCUGAUGUGAAAGCCCACGGCUCAACCGUGGAGGGUCAUUGGAAACUGGGGAACUUGAGUGCAGAAGAGAAAAGCGGAAUUCCACGUGUAGCGGUGAAAUGCGUAGAGAUGUGGAGGAACACCAGUGGCGAAGGCGGCUUUUUGGUCUGUAACUGACGCUGAGGCGCGAAAGCGUGGGGAGCAACAGGAUUAGAUACCCUGGUAGUCCACGCCGUAAACGAUGAGUGCUAAGUGUUAGAGGGUUUCCUAGCCCUUUAGUCUGCAGCUAACGCAUUAAGCACUCCGCCUGGGGAGUACGGUCGCAAGACUGAAACUCAAAGGAAUUGACGGCGACGCGUGACCGGUAUCAAACACCAAGCGGUGGAGCAUCUGGUUCUAAUUGCGUAAGCAACGCGAAGAACCUUAC